Molecule: ribosomal RNA, 500 nt
Filed under: Vibrio splendidus
Lineage: Bacteria; Pseudomonadati; Pseudomonadota; Gammaproteobacteria; Vibrionales; Vibrionaceae
Description: bacterial SSU rRNA
Rfam family: Bacterial small subunit ribosomal RNA
Source: RNAcentral
ACGGGUGAGUAAUGCCUAGGAAAUUGCCUUGAUGUGGGGGAUAACCAUUGGAAACGAUGGCUAAUACCGCAUAAUGCCUACGGGCCAAAGAGGGGGACCUUCGGGCCUCUCGCGUCAAGAUAUGCCUAGGUGGGAUUAGCUAGUUGGUGAGGUAAUGGCUCACCAAGGCGACGAUCCCUAGCUGGUCUGAGAGGAUGAUCAGCCACACUGGAACUGAGACACGGUCCAGACUCCUACGGGAGGCAGCAGUGGGGAAUAUUGCACAAUGGGCGAAAGCCUGAUGCAGCCAUGCCGCGUGUAUGAAGAAGGCCUUCGGGUUGUAAAGUACUUUCAGUUGUGAGGAAGGGGGUGUCGUUAAUAGCGGCAUCUCUUGACGUUAGCAACAGAAGAAGCACCGGCUAACUCCGUGCCAGCAGCCGCGGUAAUACGGAGGGUGCGAGCGUUAAUCGGAAUUACUGGGCGUAAAGCGCAUGCAGGUGGUUCAUUAAGUCAGAUGUGAA